This 253-nucleotide ribosomal RNA is filed under the name uncultured bacterium. RNAcentral's name for it is "partial 16S ribosomal RNA". It matches the Rfam family "Bacterial small subunit ribosomal RNA", at positions 524 to 776 of the family's 1533-position model. The record is from RNAcentral.
UACGGAGGAUGCAAGCGUUAUCCGGAAUGAUUGGGUGUAAAGCGUCCGCAGGUGGCUAUGUAAGUCUGCUGUUAAAGAGUGAGGCUCAACCUCAUAAGAGCAGUGGAAACUACAUGGCUAGAGUGCGUUCGGGGCAGAGGGAAUUCCUGGUGUAGCGGUGAAAUGCGUAGAGAUCAGGAAGAACACCGGUGGCGAAAGCGCUCUGCUAGGCCGCAACUGACACUGAGGGACGAAAGCUAGGGGAGCGAAUGGG